This 504-nucleotide ribosomal RNA is filed under the name uncultured bacterium. RNAcentral describes it as "partial 16S ribosomal RNA". It matches the Rfam family "Bacterial small subunit ribosomal RNA", at positions 30 to 523 of the family's 1533-position model. The record is from RNAcentral.
AUUGAACGCUGGCGGCAGGCCUAACACAUGCAAGUCGAGCGGUAGCACAGAGAGCUUGCUCUCGGGUGACGAGCGGCGGACGGGUGAGUAAUGUCUGGGAAACUGCCUGAUGGAGGGGGAUAACUACUGGAAACGGUAGCUAAUACCGCAUAAUGUCGCAAGACCAAAGUGGGGGACCUUCGGGCCUCAUGCCAUCAGAUGUGUCCAGAUGGGAUUAGCUAGUAGGUGGGGUAACGGCUCACCUAGGCGACGAUCCCUAGCUGGUCUGAGAGGGUGACCAGCCACACUGGAACUGAGACACGGUCCAGACUCCUACGGGAGGCAGCAGUGGGGAAUAUUGCACAAUGGGCGCAAGCCUGAUGCAGCCAUGCCGCGUGUGUGAAGAAGGCCUUCGGGUUGUAAAGCACUUUCAGCGGGGAGGAAGGCGGUGAGGUUAAUAACCUCAUCGAUUGACGUUACCCGCAGAAGAAGCACCGGCUAACUCCGUGCCAGCAGCCGCAGUAA